GGGGGCCCGCAAGCGGUGGAGCAUGUGGUUUAAUUCGAUGCAACGCGAAGAACCUUACCUACUCUUGACAUCCAGAGAACUUAGCAGAGAUGCUUUGGUGCCUUCGGGAACUCUGAGACAGGUGCUGCAUGGCUGUCGUCAGCUCGUGUUGUGAAAUGUUGGGUUAAGUCCCGCAACGAGCGCAACCCUUAUCCUUUGUUGCCAUCGGUUCGGCCGGGAACUCAAAGGAGACUGCCAGUGAUAAACUGGAGGAAGGUGGGGAUGACGUCAAGUCAUCAUGGCCCUUACGAGUAGGGCUACACACGUGCUACAAUGGCGUAUACAAAGAGAAGCGACCUCGCGAGAGCAAGCGGACCUCAUAAAGUACGUCGUAGUCCGGAUUGGAGUCUGCAACUCGACUCCAUGAAGUCGGAAUCGCUAGUAAUCGUAGAUCAGAAUGCUACGGUGAAUACGUUCCCGGGCCCUGUACACACC
RNAcentral lists this ribosomal RNA (474 nucleotides) under uncultured bacterium. RNAcentral describes it as "bacterial SSU rRNA". It matches the Rfam family "Bacterial small subunit ribosomal RNA", at positions 915 to 1391 of the family's 1533-position model. The record is from RNAcentral.